This 506-nucleotide ribosomal RNA is filed under the name uncultured bacterium. RNAcentral's name for it is "partial 16S ribosomal RNA". It matches the Rfam family "Bacterial small subunit ribosomal RNA", at positions 28 to 523 of the family's 1533-position model. The record is from RNAcentral.
GAUGAACGCUAGCUACAGGCUUAACACAUGCAAGUCGAGGGGUAACGAGAGGAAAGCUUGCUUUCCUUGUCGACGACCGGCGCACGGGUGAGUAACGCGUAUCCAACCUGCCCCCAACUAGGGAAUAACCUUGCGAAAGUAAGACUAAUACCCUAUAAUUUCCUCAGAUGUCAUCUGACGAGGAAUAAAGAUUUAUCGGUUGUGGAUGGGGAUGCGUCUGAUCAGUUUGUUGGCGGGGUAACGGCCCACCAAGGCUACGAUCAGUAGGGGUUCGGGGAGUAAGGACCCCUAGAUUGGAACUGCGACACGGUCCAAGCUCGUACGGGAGGCAGCGGAGAGGAAUAUUGGUCAAUGGGCGGAAGCCUGAACCAGCCAAGUAACGUGCAGGAGGACGGCCCUAUGGGUUGUAAACUGCUCUUAUACAGGAAUAAAGUUAGCCACGUGUGGUUAUUUGUAGGUACUGUAUGAAUAAGGACCGGCUAAUUCCGUGCCAGCCGCCGCAGUAA